Molecule: ribosomal RNA, 468 nt
Filed under: uncultured bacterium
Lineage: Bacteria
Description: partial 16S ribosomal RNA
Rfam family: Bacterial small subunit ribosomal RNA
Source: RNAcentral
GACGAACGCUGGCGGCGUGCUUAACACAUGCAAGUCGAACGGAAAGGCCCUGCUUUUGUGGGGUGCUCGAGUGGCGAACGGGUGAUUAACACGUUAGUAACCUGCCCUUGACUUUGGGAUAACUUCAGGAAACUGGGGCUAAUACCGGAUAGGAGCUCCUGCUGCAUGGUGGGGGUUGGAAAGUUUCGGCGGUUGGGGAUGGACUCGCGGCUUAUCAGCUUGUUGGUGGGGUAGUGGCUUACCAAGGCUUUGACGGGUAGCCGGCCUGAGAGGGUGACCGGCCACAUUGGGGCUGAGAUACGGCCCAGACUCCUACGGGAGGCAGCAGUGGGGAAUAGUGCACAAUGGGCGGAAGCCUGGUGCAGCAACGCCGCGUGCGGGAUGACGGCCUUCGGGUUGUAAACCGCUUUCGCCUGUGACGAAGCGUGAGUGACGGUAAUGGGUAAAGAAGCACCGGCUAACUACGUG